GGGUUGUGAGGUUAAGCGACUAAGCGUACACGGUGGAUGCCCUGGCAGUCAGAGGCGAUGAAGGACGUGCUAAUCUGCGAUAAGCGUCGGUAAGGUGAUAUGAACCGUUAUAACCGGCGAUUUCCGAAUGGGGAAACCCAGUGUGAUUCGUCACACUAUCAUUAACUGAAUCCAUAGGUUAAUGAGGCGAACCGGGGGAACUGAAACAUCUAAGUACCCCGAGGAAAAGAAAUCAACCGAGAUUCCCCCAGUAGCGGCGAGCGAACGGGGAGGAGCCCAGAGCCUGAAUCAGUGUGUGUGUUAGUGGAAGCGUCUGGAAAGGCGCGCGAUACAGGGUGACAGCCCCGUACACAAAAAUGCACAUGCUGUGAGCUCGAUGAGUAGGGCGGGACACGUGGUAUCCUGUCUGAAUAUGGGGGGACCAUCCUCCAAGGCUAAAUACUCCUGACUGACCGAUAGUGAACCAGUACCGUGAGGGAAAGGCGAAAAGAACCCCGGCGAGGGGAGUGAAAAAGAACCUGAAACCGUGUACGUACAAGCAGUGGGAGCCUCUUUUAUGGGGUGACUGCGUACCUUUUGUAUAAUGGGUCAGCGACUUAUAUUCUGUAGCAAGGUUAACCGAAUAGGGGAGCCGAAGGGAAACCGAGUCUUAACCGGGCGUUAAGUUGCAGGGUAUAGACCCGAAACCCGGUGAUCUAGCCAUGGGCAGGUUGAAGGUUGGGUAACACUAACUGGAGGACCGAACCGACUAAUGUUGAAAAAUUAGCGGAUGACUUGUGGCUGGGGGUGAAAGGCCAAUCAAACCGGGAGAUAGCUGGUUCUCCCCGAAAGCUAUUUAGGUAGCGCCUCGUGAAUUCAUCUCCGGGGGUAGAGCACUGUUUCGGCAAGGGGGUCAUCCCGACUUACCAACCCGAUGCAAACUGCGAAUACCGGAGAAUGUUAUCACGGGAGACACACGGCGGGUGCUAACGUCCGUCGUGAAGAGGGAAACAACCCAGACCGCCAGCUAAGGUCCCAAAGUCAUGGUUAAGUGGGAAACGAUGUGGGAAGGCCCAGACAGCCAGGAUGUUGGCUUAGAAGCAGCCAUCAUUUAAAGAAAGCGUAAUAGCUCACUGGUCGAGUCGGCCUGCGCGGAAGAUGUAACGGGGCUAAACCAUGCACCGAAGCUGCGGCAGCGACACUGUGUGUUGUUGGGUAGGGGAGCGUUCUGUAAGNNNNNNNNNNNNNNNNNNNNNNNNNNNNNNNNNNNNNNNNNNNNCGAAUGCUGACAUAAGUAACGAUAAAGCGGGUGAAAAGCCCGCUCGCCGGAAGACCAAGGGUUCCUGUCCAACGUUAAUCGGGGCAGGGUGAGUCGACCCCUAAGGCGAGGCCGAAAGGCGUAGUCGAUGGGAAACAGGUUAAUAUUCCUGUACUUGGUGUUACUGCGAAGGGGGGACGGAGAAGGCUAUGUUGGCCGGGCGACGGUUGUCCCGGUUUAAGCGUGUAGGCUGGUUUUCCAGGCAAAUCCGGAAAAUCAAGGCUGAGGCGUGAUGACGAGGCACUACGGUGCUGAAGCAACAAAUGCCCUGCUUCCAGGAAAAGCCUCUAAGCAUCAGGUAACAUCAAAUCGUACCCCAAACCGACACAGGUGGUCAGGUAGAGAAUACCAAGGCGCUUGAGAGAACUCGGGUGAAGGAACUAGGCAAAAUGGUGCCGUAACUUCGGGAGAAGGCACGCUGAUAUGUAGGUGAAGUCCCUCGCGGAUGGAGCUGAAAUCAGUCGAAGAUACCAGCUGGCUGCAACUGUUUAUUAAAAACACAGCACUGUGCAAACACGAAAGUGGACGUAUACGGUGUGACGCCUGCCCGGUGCCGGAAGGUUAAUUGAUGGGGUCAGCGCAAGCGAAGCUCUUGAUCGAAGCCCCGGUAAACGGCGGCCGUAACUAUAACGGUCCUAAGGUAGCGAAAUUCCUUGUCGGGUAAGUUCCGACCUGCACGAAUGGCGUAAUGAUGGCCAGGCUGUCUCCACCCGAGACUCAGUGAAAUUGAACUCGCUGUGAAGAUGCAGUGUACCCGCGGCAAGACGGAAAGACCCCGUGAACCUUUACUAUAGCUUGACACUGAACAUUGAGCCUUGAUGUGUAGGAUAGGUGGGAGGCUUUGAAGUGUGGACGCCAGUCUGCAUGGAGCCGACUUGAAUACCACCCUUUAAUGUUUGAUGUUCUAACGUGGACCCGUGAUCCGGGUUGCGGACAGUGUCUGGUGGGUAGUUUGACUGGGGCGGUCUCCUCCUAAAGAGUAACGGAGGAGCACGAAGGUUGGCUAAUCCUGGUCGGACAUCAGGAGGUUAGUGCAAUGGCAUAAGCCAGCUUGACUGCGAGCGUGACGGCGCGAGCAGGUGCGAAAGCAGGUCAUAGUGAUCCGGUGGUUCUGAAUGGAAGGGCCAUCGCUCAACGGAUAAAAGGUACUCCGGGGAUAACAGGCUGAUACCGCCCAAGAGUUCAUAUCGACGGCGGUGUUUGGCACCUCGAUGUCGGCUCAUCACAUCCUGGGGCUGAAGUAGGUCCCAAGGGUAUGGCUGUUCGCCAUUUAAAGUGGUACGCGAGCUGGGUUUAGAACGUCGUGAGACAGUUCGGUCCCUAUCUGCCGUGGGCGCUGGAGAACUGAGGGGGGCUGCUCCUAGUACGAGAGGACCGGAGUGGACGCAUCACUGGUGUUCGGGUUGUCAUGCCAAUGGCACUGCCCGGUAGCUAAAUGCGGAAGAGAUAAGUGCUGAAAGCAUCUAAGCACGAAACUUGCCCCGAGAUGAGUUCUCCCUGACCCUUUAAGGGUCCUGAAGGAACGUUGAAGACGACGACGUUGAUAGGCCGGGUGUGUAAGCGCAGCGAUGCGUUGAGCUAACCGGUACUAAUGAACCGUGAGGCUUAACCUUACAACGCCGAAGGUGUUU
This 2928-nucleotide ribosomal RNA is filed under the name Escherichia coli O157:H7. RNAcentral describes it as "23S ribosomal RNA". It matches the Rfam family "Bacterial large subunit ribosomal RNA". The record is from RNAcentral. Lineage: Bacteria; Pseudomonadati; Pseudomonadota; Gammaproteobacteria; Enterobacterales; Enterobacteriaceae.